UGAGCGGUGUCCUUUACAGGGAUUGAGG
This 28-nucleotide non-coding RNA is filed under the name Mus musculus (house mouse). Lineage: Eukaryota; Metazoa; Chordata; Mammalia; Rodentia; Muridae. The record is from RNAcentral.